GAAUAAGAUAAUUCAAGUAUGUAUAUUGAUAUGUCUAUAAUUUGCAUGUUUUCAGUGUCCAUUCAUCAUCGUUUUGAGUCCAGUUUCGUAUCAUUCAUCACUGUUUUAUAUCAUUUCUCAUCAUUCCUGCAUACUUUGCAUGAUUAGGAUAGCUUUGCAUACUUAUUGCAUUUCUGAGUUGUUUUCAGGUCAUUUAGAGCUGUUUGCGAGCAAAUUGGAAGAAACGAGCCAGAAACAGAAGACAUACUCGACCCCCAGGUCGAGUACUUUGGAGCCAUUCUUCCCACAUACUCGACCCCCAGGUCGAGUGACUUUGGAGCCAUUCUUCCCAUCCACUAGACCACCAGGUCGAGUAACCUCAGCUCAGGCCACUCGAUGACAUUACUCGACCCCCUAGUCGAGUAUCACUUCGCCACACCACCUGACCACACUCGACCAUUCACUCUACCCCGUUACUCGACCCCUUGGUCGAGUAUCAUCACUCACCACCAUCACCAUCACUCGACCGGACACUCGAUCACGUCUUCACAGUCUACUCAAUUCCGCACUCAACCAGACAAGCUGAGCAAAAGGAAGAGAAGAGGAGAAGACAAAGUGUUUGGAAGCGGCAUGGACCUCCAUCGGAUCACGAAGCCCAUCUCGGCCCAUUAUCUCUCUAUGGGCCGAGCGAUUAGGUUAUUGGCCCGUCUAUUAUCAUUUUAUUUCGUUUUGUAUAAAUAGAUGUCUUAGGGUUCUGUCCUGAGACAUCUAGUGGACAUUGAGUUUUUGCUUCAGUUUUAUUUUCUGUUAUACUCUACUGCGCCGCUUUUGCUUCUACAACCUGUAAUUCGAGAUUUUUCCAAGUUAUUCAGAUUCUGCGUUUGAUUUCAUCUGUCAUCUUGUUUCUCUACUCUCUAUCUCUUUACUUAUGCAAUAUUAUCGUUUAUCUGUGUUUAUGUCUUUGAGCAUGUUGUCUGAGUAGUGACUUAGAAUUCUUAGGGAUGGGAUAGAGUACUUGUGGAAUCCGUAGUCUGUAGAAUGGUUAAGCUUUAGAAUUAAUUGAAUCCCUUUAGGACUAGUUGCGUUUACUGCUUAUUUCUUUCUGAUCAACUGGAAUUCGAUCCCAAGCUUUCCCGCACCCAGAAGGUGUUCGAUGGAAUGCUUGAUCCACUAGUUCCUGAGAUAUGCGUCUCUAUCCCAAGGGAUUGGCCGUUUAGAGUGUGUAUUGACUUUAUCAGUCUGUUCUUAUUGCCUGCAUAGUUAGAUUCCGUUAAUGGGAAUUAGUUUGGACUAGCUUUGCUUGAGGAUUUCUAUCACGGGAGUGAAUUGAUCUGUUGUUGAACCUGUUGUCUAGGGAUAGCUUGAUUGCGCUUGUUAACCAUUCGAAUAGGCUAGGAUACCACUCUACUCGAUUACCCCAUCCUUAGGAAUUUCUCGUCUAUCUUAUUUCUCUGUUUUAUCGUUAUCGCUUAAUCGUUCUCAUUGCCUGUUUCUUAGUUUUUACAAUCACUCGACCAUCUUACUCGACCACACCCAGUGUCUGGCAACAGACUGUGCAGUCGAGUAAGAUUGUCUUGUUUCCUGUCUAUUACUCGACCUGUUACUCGACCACAUCCUCCUUCUGGCAUCAGCCUGUUGUGGUCGAGUGGUUUUAGUAAUUCUGCUAUUGCUUCUGUUUUCUGCAUGUUCGCUUAGGACUGUUAGAAACCCCAAAACUGUUAUUGCUUGGCUUGACUUAGUGACUUCUGAUCACAUCUCAUCUGUUUGCAUCACACCCAUUUGGAUUGACACUAAAAUACUACAAUGACAUGAUUGGUGUUUUAGGAUAAUUGCA
This 1813-nucleotide small RNA is filed under the name Arabidopsis thaliana (thale cress). RNAcentral's name for it is "ATSL201240". Lineage: Eukaryota; Viridiplantae; Streptophyta; Magnoliopsida; Brassicales; Brassicaceae. The record is from RNAcentral.